This 4770-nucleotide long non-coding RNA is filed under the name Citrus x clementina. RNAcentral describes it as "Citrus clementina (C. clementina) long non-coding RNA (CCLE_LNC003158)". The record is from RNAcentral. Lineage: Eukaryota; Viridiplantae; Streptophyta; Magnoliopsida; Sapindales; Rutaceae.
GGGGCUGGCCAACUUCGUCCGCCGGACUCGGAAUUCCACGAGACUUUGCGAGCGGCCUCCGUGUGCCAAGAAUAGGCCGCGGCUAAAGCCGCGCCCAAAAAUAACCGCCCGAAGGCCGGGGCGCCAAGUUCGUCAAGCGGAAAAAGACCACAAAAACGGGUGGGCUAUAGCCUUGGGGGGUGGGGCUGGCCAACUUCGUCCGCCGGACUCGGAAUGCCGCGAAACUUUGCGAGGGGCCUCCGUGUGCCAAAAAUAGGACGUGAGUAAAGCCGCGCCCAAAAAUAACCGCCUGAAGGCCGGGGCGCCAAGUUCGUCCAGCUGAAAAAGGCCACAAAAACAGGUGGGCUAUAGCCUUGGGGGGUGGGUUGGCCCACUUCGUCCGCCGGACUCGGAAUGCCGCGACACUUUGGGAGGGGCCUCCGUGUGCGAAAAAUAGGCCGCGGGCAAAGCCGCGCCGAAAAAUAACCACCCGAAGGCCGGGGCGCAAAGUUCGUCCAGCGGAAAAAAGGCCACAAAAACGGGUGGGCUAUAUAGCCUUGGGGGGUGGGGCUGGCCAACUUCGUCCGCCGGACUCGGAAUGCCGCGAGACUUUACGAGGGGCCUCCGUGUGCCAAAAAUAGGCCGUGAGUAAAGCCGCGCCCAAAAAUAACCGCCCGAAGGCCGGGGCGCCAAGUUCGUCCAGCUGAAAAAGGCCACAAAAACAGGUGGGCUAUAGCCUUGGGUGGUGGGGUUGGCCCACUUCGUCCGCCGGACUCGGAAUGCCGCGAGACUUUGCGAGGGGCCUUCGUGUGCGAAAAAUAGGCCGCGGGCAAAGCCGCGCCGAAAAAUAACCACCCGAAGGCCGGGGCGCAAAGUUCGUCCAGCGGAAAAAGGCCACAAAAACGGGUGGGCUAUAUAGCCUUGGGGGGUGGGGCUGGCCCACUUCGUCCGCCGGACUGGGAAUGCCGCGAGACCCUGCGAGGGGCCUCCGUGUCUGAAAAAUAGGCCGCGGGCAAAGCCGCACCCAAAAAUAACCGCCCGAAGGCCGGGGCGCCAAGUUCGUCCAGCGGAAAAAGGCCACAAAAACGGGUGGGCUAUAGCCUUGGGGGGUCGGGCUGGCCAACUUCGUCCGCCGGACUCGGAAUUCCACGAGACUUUGCGAGCGGCCUCCGUGUGCCAAGAAUAGGCCGCGGCUAAAGCCGCGCCCAAAAAUAACCGCCCGAAGGCCGGGGCGCCAAGUUCGUCAAGCGGAAAAAGACCACAAAAACGGGUGGGCUAUAGCCUUGGGGGGUGGGGCUGGCCAACUUCGUCCGCCGGACUCGGAAUGCCGCGAAACUUUGCGAGGGGCCUCCGUGUGCCAAAAAUAGGCCGUGAGUAAAGCCGCGCCCAAAAAUAACCGCCUGAAGGCCGGGGCGCCAAGUUCGUCCAGCUGAAAAAGGCCACAAAAACAGGUGGGCUAUAGCCUUGGGGGGUGGGUUGGCCCACUUCGUCCGCCGGACUCGGAAUGCCGCGACACUUUGGGAGGGGCCUCCGUGUGCGAAAAAUAGGCCGCGGGCAAAGCCGCGCCGAAAAAUAACCACCCGAAGGCCGGGGCGCAAAGUUCGUCCAGCGGAAAAAGGCCACAAAAACGGGUGGGCUAUAUAGCCUUGGAGGGUGGGGCUGGCCAACUUCGUCCGCCGGACUCGGAAUGCCGCGAGACUUUACGAGGGGCCUCCGUGUGCCAAAAAUAGGCCGUGAGUAAAGCCGCGCCCAAAAAUAACCGCCCGAAGGCCGGGGCGCCAAGUUCGUCCAGCUGAAAAAGGCCACAAAAACAGGUGGGCUAUAGCCUUGGGUGGUGGGGUUGGCCCACUUUGUCCGCCGGACUCGGAAUGCCGCGAGACUUUGCGAGGGGCCUUCGUGUGCGAAAAAUAGGCCGCGGGCAAAGCCGCGCCGAAAAAUAACCACCCGAAGGCCGGGGCGCCAAGUUCGUCCAGCAGAAAAUGGCCACAAAAACGGGUGGGCUAUACCCUUGGGGGGUGGGGCUGGCCAACUUCGUACGCCGGAAACGGAAUGCUGCGAGACUUUGCGAGGGGCCUCCGUGUGCCAAAAAUAGGCAGCGGGCUAAGCCGCACCCAAAAAUAACUGCCCGAAGGCGGGGGUGCCAAGUUCGUCCAGCGGAAAAAGACCACAAAAACGGGUGGGCUAUACCCUUGGGGGGUGGGGCUGGCCCACUUCGUCCGCCGGACUCGGAAUGCCGCGAGACUUUGCGAGCGGCCUCCGUGUGCCAAAAAUAGGUCGCGGGCAAAGCCGUACCCAAAAAUAACCGCCCGAAGGCCCGGGCGCCAAGUUCGUCCAGCGGAAAAUGGCCACAAAAACGGGUGGGCUAUAGACUUGGGGGGUGGGGCUGGCCAACUUCGUCCGCCGGACUCGGAAUGCCGCGAGACUUUGCGAGGGUCCUCUGUGUGCCAAAAAUAGGCCGCGGGCAAAGCCGCACCCAAAACUAACCGCCCGAAGGCCGGGGCACCAAGUUCGUCCAGCGGAAAAUGGCCACAAAAACGGGUGGACUAUAGCCUUGGGGGGUGCGGCUGGCCAACUUCGUCCGCCGGACUCGGAGUGCCGCGAGACUUUGCGAGGGGCCUCCGUGUGGCAAAAAUAGGCCGCGGGUAAAGCCGCGCCCAAAAAUAACCGCCCGAAGGCCGGGGCGCCAAGUUCGACCAGCGGAAAAAGGCCACAAAAAAGGGUGGGCUAUUGCCUUGGGGGGUGGGGCCGGCCCACGUCGUCCGCCGGACUCGGAAUGGCGCGACACUUUCCGAGGUGCCUCCGUGUGCCAAAAAUAGGCCGCGGGCAGAGCUGCGCCCAAAAAUAACCGACCGAAGGCCGGGGCGCCAAGUUCGUCCAGCGGAAAAAGGCCAGAAAAACGGGUGGGCUAUAGCCUUGGGGGGUGCGGCUGGCCAACUUCGUCCGCCGGACUCGGAAUGGCGCGAGACAUUGCGAGCGGCCUCCGUGCACCAAGAAUAGGCCGCGGGCACAGACGCGCCCAAAAAUAACCGCCCGAAGGCCGGGGCGCCAAGUUCGACCAGCGGAAAAAGGCCACAAAAAAGGGUGGGCUAUUGCCUUGGGAGGUGGCGCCGGCCAACGUCGUCCGCCGGACUCGGAAUGGCGCGACACUUUCCGAGGCACCUCCGUGUGUCAAAAAUAGGCCGUGGGCAGAGCCGCGCCCAAAAAUAACCGCCCGAAGGCCGGGGCGCCAAGUUCGUCAAGCGGAAAAAGGCCACAAAAACGGGUGGGCUAUAGCCUUGGGGGGUGGGGCUGGCCCACUUCGUCCGCCGGACUCGGAAUGCCGCGAGACUUUGCGAGGGCCCUCCGUGUGCGAAAAAUAGGCCGUGGUCAAAGCCGCGCCGAAAAAUAACCACCCAAAGGCCGGGGCGCCAAGUUCGUCCAGCGGAAAAAGGCCACAAAAACGGGUGGGUUAUAGCCUUGGGUUGUGGGGCUGGCAAACUUCGUCCGCCGGACUCGGAAUGCCGCGAGACUUUGCGAGGGGCCUCCGUGUGCCAAAAAUAGGCCGCGGGCAAAGCCGCGCCCGAAAAUAACCGCCCGAAGGCCGGGGCGCCAAGUUCGUCCAGCGGAAAAAGGCCACAAAAACGGGUGGGCUAUAGCCUUGGGGGGUGGGGCUGGCCAACUUCGUCCGCCGGACUCGGAAUGCCGCGAGACUUUUCGAGGGGCCUCCGUGUGCCAAAAAUAGGCCGAGGGCAAAGCCGCGCCCGAAAAUAACCGGCCGAAGGCCGGGGCGCCAAGUUCGUCCAGCGGAAAAAGGCCACAAAAACGGGUGGGCUAUAGCCUUGGGGAGUGGGGCUGGCCAACUUCGUCCCCCGGACUCGGAAUGCCGCGAGACUUUGAGAGGGGCCUCCAUGUGACAAAAAUCGGCCGCGGGUAAAGCCGCGCCCAAAAAUAACCGCCCGAAGGCCGGGGCGCCAAGUUCGUCCUGCUGAAAAAGGCCACAAAAACAGGUGGGCUAUAGCCUUGGGGGGCGGGGUUGGCCCACUUCGUCCGCCGGACUCGGAAUGCCGCGAGACUUUGCGAGGGGCCUCCGUGUGCCAAAAAUAGGCCGCGGGCAAAGCCGCACCGAAAAAUAACCACCCGAAGGCCGGGGCGCCAAGUUCGUCCAGCGGAAAAUGGCCACAAAAACGGGUGGGCUAUACCCUUGGGGGGUGGGGCUGGCCAACUUCGUCUGCCGGACUCAGAAUGCCAUGAGACUUUCCGAGGGGCCUCCGUGUGCCAAAAAUAGGCCACGGGCUAAGCCGCGCCCAAAAAUAACUGCCCGAAGGCCGGGGCGCCAUGUUCGUCCAGCGGAAAAAGGCCACAAAAACGGGUGGGCUAUAGCCUUGGGUGGUGGGGCUGGCCAACUUCGUCCGCCGGACUCGGAAUGCCGCGAGACUUUGCGAGGGGCCUCCGUGUGCCAAAAAUAGGCCGUGAGUAAAGCCGCGCCCAAAAAUAACCGCCCGAAGGCCGGGGCGCCAAGUUCGUCCAGCUGAAAAACGCCACAAAAGCAGGUGGGCUAUAGCCUUGGGGGGUGGGUUUGGCCCACUUCGUCCGCCGGACUCGGAAUGCCGCGAGACUUUGUGAGGGGCCUCCGUGUGCGAAAAAUAGGCCGCGGGCAAAGCCGCGCCGAAAAAUAACCACCCGAAGGCCGGGGCGCCAAGUUCGUCCAGCGGAAAAAGGCCACAAAAACGGGUGGGCUAUAUAGCCUUGGGGGGUGGGGCUGGCCAACUUCGUCCGCCGGACUCGGAAUGCCGCGAGACUUUGCGAGGGGCC